UAACCAUUAAGUUUGGUGGUGAACUUGCUAAGCUUAAAAAAUGCAUGUUAGAAAGGAGAAAUUCUGCACAAUGAAAAAGAAACUCAUCACUUCUUUUUACCAGCUCCUAUUCAUCAAAAGAUAUUACCAGGUAUUUAUCGUAUUCCUCAAGGUGUGUUUGUGAACAUGAAUAUAUAGAUGUGUGUACACGUAUCUCUAUGUAUGAGCACAAUCACAACUUGUUUUAUUACUGAUGCACCAAAAGAAUUUAGAACUAUUCGGAGCGCAAUCAGUCCUCAGACCACAAACCCUGGAUGGACUUCACACAAAUGCUCAGGUAAACAGAGAAAGUAGAGGCAUGAAAACAACCAUUACCAAGAAAAAAUUGAGCAUGUGUUCCCAGCUGGAGAGUGAAUGGAACCAUAGUCAACAAGAAAGAAAUAUGCGCCCGCACGUUAUUCUCCAAGGCAGUGCUGUAAAUGAGAGUGUCCAGGGAUGGCUUGCCUAUAGUAAUCUCAAUUGGCC
Gallus gallus (chicken) is the source of this 504-nucleotide long non-coding RNA. NCBI's taxonomy places the organism in Eukaryota, Metazoa, Chordata, Aves, Galliformes, Phasianidae. The record is from Ensembl.